This 63-nucleotide transfer RNA is filed under the name Tapes dorsatus. RNAcentral describes it as "tRNA-Pro". Lineage: Eukaryota; Metazoa; Mollusca; Bivalvia; Venerida; Veneridae. RNAcentral also lists the same sequence under 1 other name. The record is from RNAcentral.
CAAGGUAUAGUUUAAGAAAAAUAUUAGUUUUGGGUGCUAGAGAUGUUUUUAAAACUAGCUUGA